AUGGUUAAAGAAGAAAAAGAAGAAAACAGGGGUUCUGUUGAAUUUCAAGUAUUCAGUUUCACCAAUAAGAUACGGAGACUUGCUUCACAUUUGGAAUUACACAAAAAUAUUUUUCAUCGGAAAGAGGUCUACGAAGACUUUUGGGAAAAUGUCGACGUUUGCUGGCUUAUUUGGCAAAGAAAAAUAGAGUACGUUAUAAGAAAUUAA
This 207-nucleotide ribosomal RNA is filed under the name Triticum aestivum (bread wheat). RNAcentral's name for it is "partial small subunit ribosomal RNA". Lineage: Eukaryota; Viridiplantae; Streptophyta; Magnoliopsida; Poales; Poaceae. The record is from RNAcentral.